UACGAAGGGGGCUAGCGUUGCUCGGAAUCACUGGGCGUAAAGGGUGCGUAGGCGGGUCUUAAGUCAGGGGUGAAAUCCUGGAGCUCAACUCCAGAACUGCCUUCGAUACUGGCGAUCUUGAGUCCGGAAGAGGUGAGUGGAACUCCUAGUGUAGAGGUGGAAUUCGUAGAUAUUAGGAAGAACACCAGUGGCGAAGGCGGCUCACUGGUCCGGUACUGACGCUGAGGUGGCGAAAGCGUGGGGAGCAAACAGG
This 253-nucleotide ribosomal RNA is filed under the name uncultured bacterium. RNAcentral's name for it is "partial 16S ribosomal RNA". It matches the Rfam family "Bacterial small subunit ribosomal RNA", at positions 524 to 776 of the family's 1533-position model. The record is from RNAcentral.